RNAcentral lists this ribosomal RNA (496 nucleotides) under uncultured bacterium. RNAcentral describes it as "partial 16S ribosomal RNA". It matches the Rfam family "Bacterial small subunit ribosomal RNA", at positions 28 to 506 of the family's 1533-position model. The record is from RNAcentral.
GAUGAACGCUGGCGGCGUGCCUAAUACAUGCAAGUCGAGCGAACAGACGAGGAGCUUGCUCCUCUGACGUUAGCGGCGGACGGGUGAGUAACACGUGGAUAACCUACCUAUAAGACUGGGACAACUUCGGGAAACCGGAGCUAAUACCGGAUAAUAUAUUGAACCGCAUGGUUCAAUAGUGAAAGACGGUUUUGCUGUCACUUAUAGAUGGAUCCGCGCCGCAUUAGCUAGUUGGUAAGGUAACGGCUUACCAAGGCAACGAUGCGUAGCCGACCUGAGAGGGUGAUCGGCCACACUGGAACUGAGACACGGUCCAGACUCCUACGGGAGGCAGCAGUAGGGAAUCUUCCGCAAUGGGCGAAAGCUUGACGGAGCAACGCCGCGUGAGUGAUGAAGGUCUUCGGAUCGUAAAACUCUGUUAUUAGGGAAGAACAAAUGUGUAAGUAACUAUGCACGUCUUGACGGUACCUAAUCAGAAAGCCACGGCUAACUACGU